RNAcentral lists this transfer RNA (76 nucleotides) under Saccharothrix algeriensis. Its description in RNAcentral is "tRNA-Arg". It matches the Rfam family "tRNA". Rfam says of the family: Transfer RNA (tRNA) molecules are approximately 80 nucleotides in length. Their secondary structure includes four short double-helical elements and three loops (D, anti-codon, and T loops). Lineage: Bacteria; Bacillati; Actinomycetota; Actinomycetes; Pseudonocardiales; Pseudonocardiaceae. RNAcentral also lists the same sequence under 6 other names. The record is from RNAcentral.
GCCCUCGUAGCUCAGGGGAUAGAGCGACGGUUUCCUAAACCGCAGGUCGCAGGUUCGAUUCCUGCCGGGGGCACCA